GAUGAAGAACGUAGCGAAAUGCGAUAAGUAAUGUGAAUUGCAGAAUUCAGUGAAUCAUCGAAUCUUUGAACGCACCUUGCACCCUUUGGACUGCUCCAAAGGGUAUGCUCGUUUGAGUGUCAUUGUACUCUCACACUCUCUGAUCCUUUGGAUUUGGGGAGCAGUGGACUUGGGUGCUUGCUGCUUCCUUGUGGCUCACCUGAAAUGCAUCAGUGCAUCUCUCGAUUGGACAUAGUACGGCGUGAUAAGUGUCUUCGCCGGCACCUCAUAUGAGGGUGGCCGAUCGGGAGCUCUGUGCUUUCAAACCGUCUUCGGUCAACGCUGACAACUUGACCUCAAAUCGAGUAGGACUACCCGCUGAACUUAAGCAUAUCAAUAAGCGGAGGA
RNAcentral lists this unclassified non-coding RNA (387 nucleotides) under soil metagenome. RNAcentral describes it as "partial contains 5.8S ribosomal RNA, internal transcribed spacer 2, and large subunit ribosomal RNA". The stretch from base 1 to 122 matches the Rfam family "5.8S ribosomal RNA", at positions 35 to 154 of the family's 154-position model. The record is from RNAcentral.